This 1372-nucleotide ribosomal RNA is filed under the name uncultured bacterium. Its description in RNAcentral is "bacterial SSU rRNA". It matches the Rfam family "Bacterial small subunit ribosomal RNA", at positions 28 to 1381 of the family's 1533-position model. The record is from RNAcentral.
GAUGAACGCUGGCGGCGUGCCUAAUACAUGCAAGUCGAGCGAACGGACGAGAAGCUUGCUUUUCUGAUGUUAGCGGCGGACGGGUGAGUAACACGUGGAUAACCUACCUAUAAGACUGGGAUAACUUCGGGAAACCGGAGCUAAUACCGGAUAAUAUUUUGAACCGCAUGGUUCAAAAGUGAAAGACGGUCUUGCUGUCACUUAUAGAUGGAUCCGCGCUGCAUUAGCUAGUUGGUAAGGUAACGGCUUACCAAGGCAACGAUGCAUAGCCGACCUGAGAGGGUGAUCGGCCACACUGGAACUGAGACACGGUCCAGACUCCUACGGGAGGCAGCAGUAGGGAAUCUUCCGCAAUGGGCGAAAGCCUGACGGAGCAACGCCGCGUGAGUGAUGAAGGUCUUCGGAUCGUAAAACUCUGUUAUUAGGGAAGAACAUAUGUGUAAGUAACUGUGCACAUCUUGACGGUACCUAAUCAGAAAGCCACGGCUAACUACGUGCCAGCAGCCGCGGUAAUACGUAGGUGGCAAGCGUUAUCCGGAAUUAUUGGGCGUAAAGCGCGCGUAGGCGGUUUUUUAAGUCUGAUGUGAAAGCCCACGGCUCAACCGUGGAGGGUCAUUGGAAACUGGAAAACUUGAGUGCAGAAGAGGAAAGUGGAAUUCCAUGUGUAGCGGUGAAAUGCGCAGAGAUAUGGAGGAACACCAGUGGCGAAGGCGACUUUCUGGUCUGUAACUGACGCUGAUGUGCGAAAGCGUGGGGAUCAAACAGGAUUAGAUACCCUGGUAGUCCACGCCGUAAACGAUGAGUGCUAAGUGUUAGGGGGUUUCCGCCCCUUAGUGCUGCAGCUAACGCAUUAAGCACUCCGCCUGGGGAGUACGACCGCAAGGUUGAAACUCAAAGGAAUUGACGGGGACCCGCUCAAGCGGUGGAGCAUGUGGUUUAAUUCGAAGCAACGCGAAGAACCUUACCAAAUCUUGACAUCCUUUGACAACUCUAGAGAUAGAGCCUUCCCCUUCGGGGGACAAAGUGACAGGUGGUGCAUGGUUGUCGUCAGCUCGUGUCGUGAGAUGUUGGGUUAAGUCCCGCAACGAGCGCAACCCUUAAGCUUAGUUGCCAUCAUUAAGUUGGGCACUCUAAGUUGACUGCCGGUGACAAACCGGAGGAAGGUGGGGAUGACGUCAAAUCAUCAUGCCCCUUAUGAUUUGGGCUACACACGUGCUACAAUGGACAAUACAAAGGGCAGCGAAACCGCGAGGUCAAGCAAAUCCCAUAAAGUUGUCCUCAGUUCGGAUUGUAGUCUGCAACUCGACUACAUGAAGCUGGAAUCGCUAGUAAUCGUAGAUCAGCAUGCUACGGUGAAUACGUUCCCGGGUCU